GACGAACGCUGGCGGCGUGCUUAACACAUGCAAGUCGAACGGAAAGGCCCUGCUUUUGUGGGGUGCUCGAGUGGCGAACGGGUGAGUAACACGUGAGUAACCUGCCCUUGACUUUGGGAUAACUUCAGGAAACUGGGGCUAAUACCGGAUAGGAGCUCCUGCUGCAUGGUGGGGGUUGGAAAGUUUCGGCGGUUGGGGAUGGACUCGCGGCUUAUCAGCUUGUUGGUGGGGUAGUGGCUUACCAAGGCUUUGACGGGUAGCCGGCCUGAGAGGGUGACCGGCCACAUUGGGACUGGGAUACGGCCCAGACUCCUACGGGAGGCAGCAGUGGGGAAUAUUGCACAAUGGGCGGAAGCCUGAUGCAGCAACGCCGCGUGCGGGAGGACGGCCUUCGGGUGGUAAACCGCUUUCGCCUGUGACGAAGCGUGAGUGACGGAAAUGGGUAAAGAAGCACCGGCUAACUACGG
RNAcentral lists this ribosomal RNA (467 nucleotides) under uncultured bacterium. Its description in RNAcentral is "partial 16S ribosomal RNA". It matches the Rfam family "Bacterial small subunit ribosomal RNA", at positions 28 to 506 of the family's 1533-position model. The record is from RNAcentral.